Molecule: ribosomal RNA, 427 nt
Filed under: uncultured bacterium
Lineage: Bacteria
Description: bacterial SSU rRNA
Rfam family: Bacterial small subunit ribosomal RNA
Source: RNAcentral
GUGGGGAAUAUUGCACAAUGGGGGAAACCCUGAUGCAGCGACGCCGCGUGAGCGAAGAAGUAUUUCGGUAUGUAAAGCUCUAUCAGCAGGGAAGAAGAAAUGACGGUACCUGACUAAGAAGCACCGGCUAAAUACGUGCCAGCAGCCGCGGUAAUACGUAUGGUGCAAGCGUUAUCCGGAUUUACUGGGUGUAAAGGGAGCGCAGGCGGAAGGCUAAGUCUGAUGUGAAAGCCCGGGGCUCAACCCCGGUACUGCAUUGGAAACUGGUCAUCUAGAGUGUCGGAGGGGUAAGUGGAAUUCCUAGUGUAGCGGUGAAAUGCGUAGAUAUUAGGAGGAACACCAGUGGCGAAGGCGGCUUACUGGACGAUAACUGACGCUGAGGCUCGAAAGCGUGGGGAGCAAACAGGAUUAGAAACCCUAGUAGUCC